Molecule: non-coding RNA, 1369 nt
Organism: Musa acuminata subsp. malaccensis (wild Malaysian banana)
Lineage: Eukaryota; Viridiplantae; Streptophyta; Magnoliopsida; Zingiberales; Musaceae
Source: RefSeq, a predicted model, not a curated record
GGAGAAAUGAACAGGACCACCGUCAUUAUUGCCACCACUGCCUCUUUGGAUUCAGAUGAAUCUACUGUAGAGGGAGGUAAUGCUUGCUUCCUGCAGGAGUGAGGGUACAGCAUAUGGUGCUACUAUCAGUGGGUAUGAGAGCUACAACAGAGUAGAGGUAAAAGAAAAGAGGCCUUCUUUUAUUCCAUUGUUGGCUCUUCAGUUUGAUAAGAGCCACUUAAGAGAGUCAUGACAAGUCAAAGCAAAGUAAGCUCUACUUACAUUUAACUACAAUAGAAUUAACAGUGUUGUACAAUUGGUUUUGGAGUUUUGCAUCUUUUUCUUGUUGCUGAAGUCUGGUGUUGUGAAAUUCCCAAUCUGGAAAUGACAUUAAUAUAAUCUUUUAAUUAGAAUCAAGACCAUGUUUUGACAUGAUGAUCAUAAUAAUUGGUGGGUAUGCCUUGGCUGCCAUGAUGCAUGGUGAAUACUUGUUUAGGACAACACUUUGCAUCACUGCUAGAUCUAAGCCACCACAUGUGUGACUCCUCAAUCAUAUAUUUGUGCUAAAAACUCAGUGAAAUAUAACUUUUAAAACAUGUGUCUAUUAAAGAUUGAACAUUAAGUUCAUCAGAGGAAGAAUCUACCAAAAUGUUUGUAAUGUGGAUCCAAAUCAACGAAAGGGAAGAAAAAUGAUUGGACCCAGAUGCACAUCUCAACAUAGUGACCAAAUUUGUCCUCAUCAGGCCUCAGACUUUGGAUUGGAGAAAGCUUGAGAAGUCAUGGCUUUUGACCUUUUCCCUAUUUGGCUUUCUAUCAUUAGGAACUAAAAGAAGGCCUUUGACCUUUUGGUAACCCUUUAAAGAUUAGAGAUUUGAAUGACUUUUUAUGUUGGCUUUUGAUCAGUAGGUUCUAGAAGAAGGCCUUUGACUUUUUGGAAGUCUGGAAAAAUUAGGGAUUUGGAUGCCAGCAGUCAGCCACAGAGAUGUUGGGUUGGCAAGAAAUCUUUUGAGCAACAUUUCAACACCAUCCUUGGGGACCUUCUUGAAGAUCCAAAUGCAAACCCCAACAGUGGGAUCUUGAAAUCUACUACUGCAAACACUCAGAUGUUGAAGGUUUCCUUUGCUGCUAUUGCCUCCCCCCCCCCCCUCCCACCCCCAAAAAACAACAUAUAUGGAAUGAGAAGAUACAAGACAAGAUGGAUUGGGAUCUCACAUGAAUCAGUAAGAAGAGCCAUCAGUGCAAGAGUUUGCUGAAGAAAAACCAGUUUGGGACUCAACAAAUACAUUCUAUGCUGAGAUGUGACCUCCCACACAACACUUUAGAUUGAAUUAGGAAUUUUUUCAACAUCUAUAUAUAUUGUUGUAUAGUUUGAAAAUAGAGUAUCUUGCGC